CGCGAACGGCUCAUUAUAACAGCUAUAAUUUACUUGAAUUUGACAACCCUACUUGGAUACCGGUGGUAAUUCUAGCGCUAAUACAUGCACCAAAGCUCCGACCGCGAGGGAAGAGCGCAUUUAUUAGAACAAAACCACACGGCUUCGGCCGUCCAAUGUUGACUCAGAAUAACUAAGCUGAUCGCAUGGUCUUGCACCGGCGACGUUUCUUUCAAGUAUCUGCCUUAUCAACUUUCGAUGGUAGUGUAUCUGACUACCAUGGUGAUGACGGGUAACGGAGGAUAAGGGUUCGACUCCGGAGAAGGGGCCUGAGAAAUGGCCACUACGUCUAAGGAUGGCAGCAGGCGCGCAAAUUACCCACUCUCAGUACGAGGAGGUAGUGACGAGAAAUAACAAGACCGUUCUCACAAGAGGCCGGUCAUUGGAAUGGGUACAAUUUAAACCCUUUAACGAGUAUCUAUGAGAGGGCAAGUCUGGUGCCAGCAGCCGCGGUAAUUCCAGCU
RNAcentral lists this ribosomal RNA (503 nucleotides) under Bitylenchus dubius. RNAcentral's name for it is "SSU rRNA". It matches the Rfam family "Eukaryotic small subunit ribosomal RNA", at positions 88 to 590 of the family's 1831-position model. RNAcentral also lists the same sequence under 1 other name. Lineage: Eukaryota; Metazoa; Nematoda; Chromadorea; Rhabditida; Telotylenchidae. The record is from RNAcentral.